UUCUUUAAAUUAAUUAAACAACCAUACAUCUGCUCUAUAAUAUAAACCAUAUACAUAAGUUGUUUAAUGAGUCUAAAAAAUAGUCUUUUGCUCAUAACAAAGAUCGGAUCUAAUAAAUGAAAGGGCAAAGUUAAUGAAAAUCUGAUAGGUCGAAACGUGUCCAAUUUUAUUUUUUUUAAGAAAUGAAUUGAACAUAUUCAGCUCUUGCUGAUCAUCAAUCAACAGGAGACACAUUCACAUUAGGAAUAUUAGCCAAUAAUGGAUACCAAUUAUUGUAAUAAUGCUCUUGUAACCAAUGUAGUUUGAGGUUGUUCCUUCAGAUGACAUUCCCAGUACCUCUGACCAGUGUAGUUUGAAGUUUUUCCUUCAGAUAGCAUAACCAAUGGCGAGGAUGAAACAUCAGUUGAAGUUUUGUGCAAAGGAUGAACAAAAAGAAAGGUUGGUUUGCAGCACCAAAGUAUGGCAGGAGGUUUGUCAACAAGAGAAAGUAAGUCCCAAAUCAGAUGUUCUCGGACCAUAGAGAUGCAGACUAAUUAUAAAUAAGUAGCAUAACAUUCAAAUGUGAAUAGAGCUCCCGAAGGAGAUCUAUUAACAUAUUACUUAAAUAAAUGUUAAUUCCAUCUUCUUCGAUACUUUUCAAACAAACUCAAUUCUUUUUUCUUUUUCUUUUCAUUAUUUUAGUUUGUCUUUGUUACACAUUUUAAGUUAAAGUUGAAAUAAAGUUUAAAAGUAUGAAUUAAAGGGUGCUCAUAAAAUAAUAAUAAUGAAUUAUUC
Molecule: long non-coding RNA, 774 nt
Filed under: Medicago truncatula (barrel medic)
Lineage: Eukaryota; Viridiplantae; Streptophyta; Magnoliopsida; Fabales; Fabaceae
Description: long non-coding RNA (MTRU_LNC002764)
Source: RNAcentral